AACGAACGCUGGCGGCAUGCCUAACACAUGCAAGUCGAACGAUACCUUCGGGUCCAGUGUCGCAGGGGUGGGUAACGCGUGGAAACCUGCCUAACGCGUCGGAAACAUUCCCCGAACUGGGUGCUAACCCCGUGAAAUGUCUGCUAACCAAAGAUUUAUCGCGUUUGUCUGGGGCUGCGUUGGAGUAGCUAAUUGUUACGGUAAAAGGCUACCAAGGCGACGAUCCAUUGCUUGCCGGGGUGGAUGAACAGCCAAACUGGGACUGAGACACGGCCCAGACGCCUACGGGAGGCAGCGGUGAGGAAUAAUGCAGAGUGGGCGAAAGCCUGAUCCAGCAAUGCCGCGUGAGUGAUGAAGGCCUUAGGGUUGUAAAGCUCUUUCGCUCGUGAGGAUAUUGACAGUACCGGGAUAAUAAGCUCCGGCUAACUCCGUG
Molecule: ribosomal RNA, 433 nt
Filed under: uncultured bacterium
Lineage: Bacteria
Description: partial 16S ribosomal RNA
Rfam family: Bacterial small subunit ribosomal RNA
Source: RNAcentral